Molecule: ribosomal RNA, 484 nt
Filed under: uncultured bacterium
Lineage: Bacteria
Description: partial 16S ribosomal RNA
Rfam family: Bacterial small subunit ribosomal RNA
Source: RNAcentral
AUUGAACGCUGGCGGCAUGCUUUACACAUGCAAGUCGAACGGCAGCGCGGGCUUCGGCCUGGCGGCGAGUGGCGAACGGGUGAGUAAUACAUCGGAACGUGCCCAGUAGCGGGGGAUAGCUCGGCGAAGGCCGGAUUAAUACCGCAUACGACCUGAGGGUGAAAGCGGGGGAUCUUCGGACCUCGCGCUAUUGGAGCGUCCGAUGGCAGAUUAGCUAGUUGGUGGGGUAAAGGCCUACCAAGGCGACGAUCUGUAGCUGGUCUGAGAGGACGACCAGCCACACUGGAACUGAGACACGGCCCAGACUCCUACGGGAGGCAGCAGUGGGGAAUUUUGGACAAAGGGCGAAAGCCUGAUCCAGCAAUGCCGCGUGUGUGAUGAAGGCCUUCGGGUUGUAAAGCACUUUUGGCGGGAACGAAAAGGACUGUGCCAAUACCACGGUUCGAUGACGGUACCCACAGAAUAAGCACCGGCUAACUACGUG